UCUCUCUCUCUCUCUCUCUCUCUCAAUCAAUCCCAGCAUAAAACCUCCCUCACAACAAGAAGCAUACACUUAUUUCUUGCACCAAAGAAACCCAUCGAUCACAAAGUGGGCAAUCUAAAGCAAAGAAGAAAAGCCACUUUAUAUACUAUCAUUACAAUCAUAUCCAACUACUAAAGCGCCUAUAAUUUUUACACUAGUUCUCAUCACCUGAAACGAGUUCCAUCCACACUUCCAAAUUUAACCCAUCAAAGAUCAAAGAGAAAGGGAAAGGGAAAAAACAAAAGAAAGAGAGAUCAUCAUGGAGAUNNNAGUGCGAGUGUUGUGGAUUGAAAGAGGAUUGCACCCAAGACUAUAUCAGUGAGGUGAAGGCGAAAUUCGAUGGCAAAUGGUUAUGUGGGUUGUGCUCAGAAGCGGUUAGAGAUGAAGUUAGUAGAGGCAAAAAGCCAUUUGGAAUGGAUGAAGCAGUUAGAGCUCACAUGUCAUUUUGUGGUAAAGUCAAUUCAAAUCCAGCUGUUGGAGUUGCUAAUGGGAUGAGGCAGAUGCUGAGAAGACGUUCAGGAGACUUGUCUUCUUCAUCAUCUUCCAAGAAGUACACGCGAUCAGCAAGCACAAAACUCUACUGAUCAUUAAUCGGGAGGGAUCUUAUAAUUCCUUGCCUGGAAUAAUUAAUAUGGAUGGCUAUGGCAGCCUUUCUUGGCUAAGUGUUGUCUUGUCUUGUAAUGUACAGGGAAUGUUAUUUCAAAGGAGGNCAGCUUGCUUUUUUGCACUAAACAUUUGUUAUGCUUUUCUUCUCCUUUGUUGGCUAAAGAG
This 810-nucleotide unclassified non-coding RNA is filed under the name Hevea brasiliensis (rubber tree). Lineage: Eukaryota; Viridiplantae; Streptophyta; Magnoliopsida; Malpighiales; Euphorbiaceae. The record is from RNAcentral.